GCGUACCGCCGGCGGCCCCGCCCCGCGAAGCCUAGCACUCUCCCCAAACCUCUCUCGCACGCGGGGACUGAGCACGGCCCGAAAAGCCGAGGACAGCCGGACUCACCCUGUAGUUAUAGUAGUGCGUCUGCACAAGAUGCCGGUGGCGCGACUUGUGGUUGCCGAAGUUGGAUUUCUCGCAAACCAAGAUGGGGUCUUGCUGUGUUGCCCAGACUGGUCUCAAACUCCUGAGCUCAAGUGAUCCACCCACCGUGGCCUCCCAAAGUGCUGAGAUUAAAGGACUUCGUUAUAAAGUAAGGCCUGUGCCCUAGAUGUCCCUGGAGACAGCGCCAUCUGGUGGAACUUCCUGUAACGAUCGAGAUGUUCCGUCUGUGCCGUCCAACAUGGGAGCCAUGCAGGACACAUGGUGACUGAGCACUGGGACUGUGUGCCGCGUGACCAAGAGCAGCUCAGCUCUAAAGUCUCCUCCAGCUUUAUGAUGUCACUUCCUGUAUCUUCUCUACACAUUCUUUCCUUCAGCCUGUUGUUUGUAAGUUUUUAUGUAGGAAAGUAGAAAAUUCAGAAUAUGUUUCAUCAGGUUUUUGUUUGGCAAAGUGUCAACAUGUUUAUAACAGAGUUAAAGAUAAAGGAAACCUUUUGGGUUAUUUUGGAGAAUUGAGGGCAAGACAAAAGGCUCCCUAACUGCAGGGAAAGGGGAGGCAAGUCAUGAGCUCUGAGAAGGCCUGGCAGUGUCUGUGAACACAUGAGAUGUGCCUGUCACCCCAACUCUGCCAAGGCAGCGUGCAAACAGCCCCUGUUGCACCUCCACUUUCUGCCUGGAGGCCCGAGCAACCGAAGGCUGUCACAUCAGCCCAGCUACUGGGAAAUGCCAAUUUGGAAGCCCAGGACUUACCGCCAAACCUACGGGCCAGUCCCCCGUACAUGUAAAAGUACACCCACCCCAGCAUGGACAUGAUAUUUAUAGGAGUGUUUCUCAACUGAGGGCAAUUUUGCCCCCUGGGGACAUUUGGUUGUCACAAAUGAGGGAGGGGGUGCUAGUGGCAUCUAGUGGGUGGAGGCCAGGGGUGCUGCUCAACCUCCCACAGCCCACAGGACAGCCCCCACAACGGAAUUACCCAGCUGCCCCAAACCUCGGUAGUGCUGAGGUUGUGAUACCCUGAUUUAUGGCAACAUUCCCUCUGAAAACACAAAGCUCUAUUACUUGGAUCCCUGGAGCAGAAGUAACUUUUUAAUAAACAAAAUGGCUUAUUUUC
Long non-coding RNA from Homo sapiens (human), 1253 nucleotides. Ensembl annotates it as LYRM4 antisense RNA 1. Its record names the gene LYRM4-AS1. The record is from Ensembl. Lineage: Eukaryota; Metazoa; Chordata; Mammalia; Primates; Hominidae.